GAGCUCAAAUUUAAAAUCUGGCGGUUCUGCCGUCCGAGUUGUAGUUUAGAGAAGUGCUAUCCGCGCUGGCCUGUGCAUAAGUUUCUUGGAAAAGAACAUCAUAGAGGGUGACAAUCCCGUCUUUGGCACAGAUCCCAGGGCUUUUGUGAUGCGCUCUCGAAGAGUCGAGUUGUUUGGGAAUGCAGCUCUAAAUGGGUGGUAAAUUCCAUCUAAAGCUAAAUAUUGGCGAGAGACCGAUAGCGAACAAGUACCGUGAGGGAAAGAUGAAAAGAACUUUGAAAAGAGAGUUAAACAGUACGUGAAAUUGUUGAAAGGGAAACGCUUGAAGUCAGUCGCGUCCUCUAGUAGUCAAGUUGACUUUGGUUGACUGUACUUUCUAGUUGGAUGGGUCAGCAUCAAUUUUGAUCGCUGGACAAAGGCCUUGGGAAUGUGUCAUCUUCGGAUGUGUUAUAGACCAUGGUUCUCAUACAGUGGUUGGGAUUGAGGAACUCAGUGUGCCUUCAUGGUUGGGGCUUCGGCUCACAUUAGCACGCUUAGGAUGCUGGCAUAAUGGCUUUAAUCGACCCGUCUUGAAACACGGACCAAGGAGUCUAACAUGCCUGCGAGUAUUUGGGUGGAAAACCCAUAUGCGAAAUGAAAGUGAAAGUUGAGAUCUCUGUCAUGGAGAGCAUCGACGCCCGGACCUGAGCUUUUGUGACGGAUCUGCGGUAGAGCAUGUAUGUUGGGACCCGAAAGAUGGUGAACUAUGCCUGAAUAGGGUGAAGCCAGAGGAAACUCUGGUGGAAGCUCGUAGCGAUUCUGACGUGCAAAUCGAUCGUCGAAUUUGGGUAUAGGG
Molecule: ribosomal RNA, 835 nt
Filed under: Clavulinopsis aurantiaca
Lineage: Eukaryota; Fungi; Basidiomycota; Agaricomycetes; Agaricales; Clavariaceae
Description: LSU rRNA
Rfam family: Eukaryotic large subunit ribosomal RNA
Source: RNAcentral